AAUCUAUUGAAAACAUUGUGAAAAUAAAUUCUUUAUUUAGAUUACGUAAAGAACAAUUUAAAUUCUAUUAAAAAUUAUUAUACAAGAAGAUUCAUUCAAAUAGACAGAAGUAUCUUACAAUCAGAUGAUAGAGCCCUCUUAAAAUGAUAGCUAUAACUAUUGUCGAUAAAUUACCUGAUUUAACAAUCGACACGUGUAAUAAUCUCACACUGUUUUGAAAAUUUCGUCGUUGGCAUUUAUCAGAAACUGUCCCAUAAUCGUUAAAAAAAACAGAUGUGUCAACUGGCCAACAGUGAAUGCGCAGAACGUGAAAAACCUGACAUUCACUUCCAUCGAUGACAACUGUAAUUAAAUUACAAAUUAAUAUAAGAAAAAAAGGAACAAAUUGUGAGAUGUAAGGGAUAUAAAGAACGAUUAACGAAUACCAGUACUCACCCACUGAUAGCUAACAAGGCGCAUCCAUGAUGUACGAUGUAAACCAAAUAUGUAUCGCAGGCUACGUAUACUGAAGUCAGUAUUAACGCAACUGCUAUCAUGUGCAUUAAUAUGGGAUAAUAAUAUUUCUCUUCAUCCACAAAAUAAUAAGAUGGAUAGA
Molecule: long non-coding RNA, 595 nt
Organism: Apis florea (little honeybee)
Lineage: Eukaryota; Metazoa; Arthropoda; Insecta; Hymenoptera; Apidae
Source: RefSeq, a predicted model, not a curated record